UCUUGGCUCAGGACGAACGCUGGCGGCGUGCUUAACACAUGCAAGUCGAACGGUGACGGAGGAGCUUGCUCUUCUUGAUCAGUGGCGAACGGGUGAGUAACACGUGAGUAACCUGCCCUUGACUCUGGGAUAAGCGUUGGAAACGACGUCUAAUACCGGAUACGAGAUGCGACCGCAUGGUCUGUGUCUGGAAAGUUUUUCGGUCAAGGAUGGACUCGCGGCCUAUCAGCUUGUUGGUGAGGUAAUGGCUCACCAAGGCGUCGACGGGUAGCCGGCCUGAGAGGGCGACCGGCCACACUGGGACUGAGACACGGCCCAGACUCCUACGGGAGGCAGCAGUGGGGAAUAUUGCACAAUGGGCGAAAGCCUGAUGCAGCGACGCCGCGUGAGGGAUGAAGGCCUUCGGGUUGUAAACCUCUUUCAGUAGGGAAGAAGCGAAAGUGACUGUACCUGCAGAAGAAGCACCGGCUAACUACGUGCCAGCAGCCGCGGUAAUACGUAGGGUGCAAGCGUUGUCCGGAAUUAUUGGGCGUAAAGAGCUCGUAGGCGGUUUGUCGCGUCUGGUGUGAAAACUCAAGGCUCAACCUUGAGCUUGCAUCGGGUACGGGCAGACUAGAGUGUGGUAGGGGUGACUGGAAUUCCUGGUGUAGCGGUGAAAUGCGCAGAUAUCAGGAGGAACACCGAUGGCGAAGGCAGGUCUCUGGGCUGUAACUGACGCUGAGGAGCGAAAGCAUGGGGAGCGAACAGGAUUAGAUACCCUGGUAGUCC
Molecule: ribosomal RNA, 768 nt
Filed under: uncultured bacterium
Lineage: Bacteria
Description: bacterial SSU rRNA
Rfam family: Bacterial small subunit ribosomal RNA
Source: RNAcentral